CGAGCUGACUAUGCGACAGCGUACAACAGUAUGUUUACGAGGAAAGUCCGAGCAUCAUAGAGCAGGAUAGCUGAUAACAUCAGCCGAGGGCGACCUCCGGGCUAGUGCAACAGAAAUAUACCGCCUGUUUUCAGGUAAGGGUGGAAAGGUGAGGUAAGAGCUCACCGGCGUAUAGGAGACUAUGCGGCCAUGUAAACCCUAUUCGAUGCAACACCAAUGGUUUGUGUAAGUUAAUGUCUGCUCGGCAGGCUUGCACUUAUAGGUGGCUUGAGCUUUACGGCGACGUAAAGACUAGAUAGAUUGUCGCACACGACAAAACUCGGCUUAUCGGUCAGGUCGCACA
RNAcentral lists this RNase P RNA (343 nucleotides) under Clostridiales bacterium. RNAcentral describes it as "RNase P RNA component class A". It matches the Rfam family "Bacterial RNase P class A". Rfam says of the family: Ribonuclease P (RNase P) is a ubiquitous endoribonuclease, found in archaea, bacteria and eukarya as well as chloroplasts and mitochondria. The record is from RNAcentral. Lineage: Bacteria; Bacillati; Bacillota; Clostridia; Eubacteriales.